UGGGGAAUAUUGGACAAUGGGCGCAAGCCUGAACCAGCCAAGUCGCGUGAAGGAAGAAGGUUCUAUGGAUUGUAAACUUCUUUUGUAAGGGAAUAAAAAGAGUUACGUGUAACUUAUUGUAUGUACUUUACGAAUAAGGAUCGGCUAACUCCGUGCCAGCAGCCGCGGUAAUACGGAGGAUCCAAGCGUUAUCCGGAUUUAUUGGGUUUAAAGGGUGCGUAGGCGGGUUUUUAAGUCAGUGGUGAAGGUUUGCAGCUCAACUGUAAAAUUGCCAUUGAAACUGAAGACCUUGAGUGUAAAUGAGGUAGGCGGAAUGUGUUGUGUAGCGGUGAAAUGCUUAGAUAUAACACAGAACACCAAUUGCGAAGGCAGCUUACUGGGAUACAACUGACGCUGAGGCACGAAAGCGUGGGGAUCAAACA
RNAcentral lists this ribosomal RNA (422 nucleotides) under uncultured bacterium. RNAcentral's name for it is "bacterial SSU rRNA". It matches the Rfam family "Bacterial small subunit ribosomal RNA", at positions 355 to 774 of the family's 1533-position model. The record is from RNAcentral.